CCUAAACAUGCAUGUGCUCCAAGCUGUCCCUGAAUUUUCCAAAGAUAGGAUUUCAAGAACAUAGACUGCCCGGGUGUUUUUUAUCUGGGCGUUUAAUUUAAUUUAAUUUAUUCAAACAGACUGAAGCAAAGACAUUUUGGAAAUGCAAAGACAGCUUGGAGCGCUCUCAACUAUCAUGAACAACAAGUAAUAGAACAAGAGCGACAUUUAGAACAGAUGGUUUUCCAUGUCCUCGGACGAUCAACGUCAAAGAAUGUUUCAAGUUUGACCCGGUAGUAGUUCUUCAGUUUAUAUUUGAGUGUGGCAUUAGAGGUGGAGGAUUUCAGAUCUUCAGGAAGGUUGUUCCACAGAGGCACAAUUCUGUUGAAGAAGGAACUUCUGAAAUAGGCAGUUCUGCAAAGGUUGGGUCUGUAGCAAUUGGUUGAACUGAAGCGGGUCAGAUGAUGGGUAGGGUGGUCGAUAUAAUCUUCGGGGUUUAGGUCGUAGAGUCCAGAUUUGAUCUUGUAGAAACAAAUAAUAUCUUUCAUCUCAUACCAGUACGAAAUAGGGAGAAGGUUAAGAAGUUUCAGUCGGUCAGUGUAGGAAGAGUGGUAAUCUUGAAGUAUGUAUUUGGACGCUCGUCGUUGAACACUUUCGAUACGGAGAAGGUCCUUUGAUGUUGAUUGAGGCGCCCAAAGUUCACUUCCAUAACACAGAUGAGCUCUCACGAGUGCCAGAUAGAGUGAGCGUCGACAUUUCGUAUCAGUCAGGUGGAUACAGUUACGUCGGAGAAAACCAAGCAUCUGAUUUGCCUUUGACACGAUACUGGUUAUCUGAGGUGACCAUUUUAAGUUGUUACUAAUUAUUAUUCCGAGGU
RNAcentral lists this long non-coding RNA (856 nucleotides) under Paramuricea clavata. The record is from RNAcentral. Lineage: Eukaryota; Metazoa; Cnidaria; Anthozoa; Malacalcyonacea; Plexauridae.